CGGCAGCGCGGGAAAGCUUGCUUUCCUGGCGGCGAGUGGCGGACGGGUGAGUAAUACUUAGGAAUCUGCCCACUAGUGGGGGAUAGCCCGGGGAAACUCGGAUUAAUACCGCAUAAGCCCUAUGGGGGAAAGCUGGGGAUCCAGCACCAUGGCCUUUUGUCAACCGAUCAGGUGGCGACAACUAAAGAGGCUAUGGUGCUGGGCCUGGCGCUAGUGGAUGAGCCUAAGUCCUAUCAGCUAGUUGGUGGGGUAAAAGCCUACCAAGGCGACGACGGGUAGCUGGUCUGAGAGGAUGAUCAGCCACACUGGGACUGAGACACGGCCCAGACUCCUACGGGAGGCAGCAGUGGGGAAUAUUGGACAAUGGGCGAAAGCCUGAUCCAGCAAUGCCGCGUGUGUGAAGAAGGCCUGCGGGUUGUAAAGCACUUUCAGUGGGGAAGAAAAGCUUGGUGUGAAUAGCGCCAAGUUUUGACGUUACCCACAGAAGAAGCACCGGCUAACUCCGUGCCAGCAGCCGCGGUAAUACGGAGGGUGCGAGCGUUAAUCGGAAUCACUGGGCGUAAAGCGCGCGUAGGCGGCUAACUAAGUCGGGUGUGAAAGCCCUGGGCUUAACCCUCGAACUGCACUCGAUACUGCUUAGCUAGAGUAUGGUAUAGGGAAUCGGAAUUCCGGGUGUAGCGGUGAAAUGCGUAGAGAUCCGGAGGAACACCAGUGGCUAACGCGGCUUCCUGGACCAAUACUGA
This 743-nucleotide ribosomal RNA is filed under the name uncultured bacterium. Its description in RNAcentral is "bacterial SSU rRNA". It matches the Rfam family "Bacterial small subunit ribosomal RNA", at positions 67 to 743 of the family's 1533-position model. The record is from RNAcentral.